Molecule: non-coding RNA, 29 nt
Filed under: Mus musculus (house mouse)
Lineage: Eukaryota; Metazoa; Chordata; Mammalia; Rodentia; Muridae
Source: RNAcentral
UGGCUAACAAACCUUCUGAGACAGAAAGG